RNAcentral lists this ribosomal RNA (458 nucleotides) under uncultured bacterium. RNAcentral describes it as "partial 16S ribosomal RNA". It matches the Rfam family "Bacterial small subunit ribosomal RNA", at positions 338 to 795 of the family's 1533-position model. The record is from RNAcentral.
CCUACGGGUGGCAGCAGGGAGGAAUAUUGGUCAAUGGGCGAGAGCCUGAACCAGCCAAGUCGCGUGAGGGAGUACUGCCCUAUGGGUUGUAAACCUCUUUUGUCGGGGAGCAAAAGCCGGACGUGUCCGGCUGUGAGAGUACCCGAAGAAAAAGCAUCGGCUAACUCCGUGCCAGCAACCGCGGUAAUACGGAGGAGGCGAGCGUUCUCCCGAUUUAUUGGGUUUAAAGGGUGCGCAGGCGGUUGUUUAAGUCAGCGGUCAUAUCGUGGGGCUCAACCCCAUCCAGCCGUUGAAACUGGGGAUCUUGAGUGUGCGAGAGGUAUGCGGAAGGCGUGGUGUAGCGGUGAAAUGCAUAGAUAUCACGCAGAACCCCGAUUGCGAAGGCAGCAUACCGGUGCACAACUGACGCUCAGGCACGAAAGCGUGGGUAUCGAACAGGAUUAGAUACCCCGGUAGUC